This 21-nucleotide microRNA is filed under the name Drosophila erecta. RNAcentral describes it as "der-miR-2498b-3p". Lineage: Eukaryota; Metazoa; Arthropoda; Insecta; Diptera; Drosophilidae. The record is from miRBase by way of RNAcentral.
AAUGUGCACAACCGGCUUACU